This is a non-coding RNA of Macaca mulatta (Rhesus monkey), 2246 nucleotides long. The record is from RefSeq and is a predicted model, not a curated record. Lineage: Eukaryota; Metazoa; Chordata; Mammalia; Primates; Cercopithecidae.
GAACUCCUGACCUCGUGAUCCACUUGCCUCUGCCUCCCAAAGUGCUGGGAUUACAGGCAUGAGCCACCGCAUCCGGCCGCAGUUUGCUUUUCUGCCUCACAUUGGGGAGACUGUGGGGCUGCUUGACUCAGGAAAGGGGUGACUAAUGGGAGCUGAAGGGGCUGCACUUGAGAAUCUCUGCCCACCUCCAAAGACUCAUUUCAGAGCCAGCAAGGAGGUACUACUGAGGGCCACUUGGCCGCAGGUCCCCGAGACAGGCCAGCUGCAAACGGGCCCACCUGGCUCCAACGGGAGAGAUGAGGGUACGCGCACGCGUGCAAGCCCCCAGGCUCCAGCCAGAGCCCCCGCAAGCAGGAUCCUGGGCAGUCGCCACCUGUGCUUGGGGCUCAGGAAGCAGACCAGGAGGCUCGAGGGCUCCGGGCCGCACGGCAUGACCGCACCUGUUGUGAGGACACAGUCCACAUCCCGUGUCUGGUGUUCCUGGUUGAAAAAGUCGGGUCUAGAGGCUUCCAGCUUUUUGUCAUAGCAGGGCAUCACCGUGACGUGGUAGAUCUUGUCAGGAGUCAAGCGCUACGAGGGAAAACAAACACACGUCUCCCCAAUCCCAGCAGUACGGUGGCCGAGGCGUGACCUGGAACUCAGCCAUCCUGCAGCCAGGCCGGACCCCGAGGGACAGUGAGCCUCACUCCCUUUCCCAGGAAGCCUCCUGCUGGCUCUGCGGAUGUGCCCCUGGAUAGGACAGGCCCUGGCUGCGACAGAAAACGACACUGACCCGUUCCCAGUGUGCCUGCACUCCCUAACAGCCAAGUCCAAAGGAGGAGGAGAAGUGGCCUUCCCACAGCUCAGGCCCUCUCGCUGCACACCAGCCGGGGAAAGGGAUGUCACAGGGGAACCAACCAGCCCCAGCCCCAGCUUCGCGGCAAACAGCCAGAAUAAUCACGUCUGGCCGCUCCCCAGCCUGAGCCUGGGGCGGCCCAACGCCGUUACCUGCUGCUGGGCGAAGAAGUCCUUGACCAGGGAGCCCAUGACCUGCUGCGGGGACCGGGCGGUGCUGAUGUAGGGGAGGAUGAAGCUGCCGUGCGUCUUCUCGGCAUAGCAGAUCCAGCCUGAGGCGACAGGGGCACACGGGGCUGGCGGGGGCGCACGGCGGCCCCCGCACCCACAGGCAGCAGCACGACAUUCUGGAGGCGGGUCCGCUCAUAUGGGAGAUCAUGAUGACAUUAAAGAGUGCUCGUUCCUGUUCUUCCCACCACCACGUGGAGCUCGGCGUGCACGCAACACCGCCUAGGGACCUGAGGUGACUGUGGGUGGCUCCCAAGGGAGGGCAGCCCCUUCUCCACAAAAGGCCAUUUGUGCCAACAUUUCUAACCCGUCCUGCGAAACCGGCUUGCGUCUCCACCCCCUAUCCCCCGCUUUGUCAUCCGUGUCCAUAUCAUGUCACAUUUUAACUUAACUCGAACUUGACUCUCACACCGCCCGCACCAUGAGCACACCUGGGCAGGCGGAGGCCAGCAGGGGCAGGGCCUGUCUGCAGUCGGCCUGUCCUCGGAAUCGCCGCACAAACUCUCGCUGGCUCUCCAGGAGGCUGAAGUGCCUUGAGAAGGCGGUGUCAAAGACAAAGUGCACCCCUGGAAGGUGAAGGUGGGUGCCUGGCUAGCCCCGCGCGGGACGCCCACGCGAGUACACGCCUGUGUGUGGACCACCGUGGUGCUGCUGGGGGACGUGUGUGGCACCCGCUUCCCGUGCCAAAGCCCCGGCCCCACCGUGGGGACCUCCUUAAGCCGCGUUGCCUCGGCAUCCCCUGCGAAUGCAGGGCUUGCUUUCCCACCCCAGAGGCAGGGCAGCCGCUCGGCAGCUCAGUCCUCCACCCUCCCAGCUCCUUAGCGAGGCUGGUCCAGGGAACUGCCACGUGCACUGCUCCCGGUGACCCUCCCUAGGGCACAGCUGGACGUGGCCUGCUGGACUGGCCCCUCGGACCCUGAGUGUGCAGACCUGCCACAGUGGCCGCCCCUCACACACGGCAGGACUCCUGGGACAGGCCCGCCGGCUCCAAGCCCAGCAAUUAGAACUGCUUGGUAAACCUGCCUGAUCGUGCCCUGGACACCAGCAGAGGCACCAGCACGUGGGUCCCUCUGUCUCUGCCUGACCUGUCAUUCCUGCCUCGUGUAACCCAUGGUCGGAAGACGGCCUUCGGACUCACUGUGCCCCACCUGCCCGUGAUCUGUAAGUAAAAAUCUUUGAACUUG